This is a non-coding RNA of Gossypium hirsutum (cotton), 142 nucleotides long. The record is from Rfam. NCBI's taxonomy places the organism in Eukaryota, Viridiplantae, Streptophyta, Magnoliopsida, Malvales, Malvaceae.
UUUUAAAAAUUCAUCCCUUUGUACUGUUAAAAAGGCGUGGCUAAUAGAAUAAUCAGACUGUGACAGGUGGCAUAUCGCAUGCUCCUCAUGUUGGCGUACAAGGACAAGUCUUUAACAGUAAAAAUGGAUGGAGUUUUUAAUA